This 484-nucleotide ribosomal RNA is filed under the name uncultured bacterium. RNAcentral describes it as "bacterial SSU rRNA". It matches the Rfam family "Bacterial small subunit ribosomal RNA", at positions 30 to 507 of the family's 1533-position model. The record is from RNAcentral.
AUUGAACGCUGGCGGCAUGCCUUACACAUGCAAGUCGAACGGUAACAGGGAGCUUGCUCCGCUGACGAGUGGCGAACGGGUGAGUAAUAUAUCGGAACGUACCAUUGAGUGGGGGAUAACGUAGCGAAAGUUGCGCUAAUACCGCAUAUUCUCUCCGGAGGAAAGCAGGGGACCGCAAGGCCUUGCGCUCAUUGAGCGGCCGAUAUCAGAUUAGCUAGUUGGUGGGGUAAAAGCUCACCAAGGCGACGAUCUGUAGCGGGUCUGAGAGGAUGAUCCGCCACACUGGAACUGAGACACGGUCCAGACUCCUACGGGAGGCAGCAGUGGGGAAUUUUGGACAAUGGGGGCAACCCUGAUCCAGCCAUGCCGCGUGAGUGAAGAAGGCCUUCGGGUUGUAAAGCUCUUUCAGCCGGGAAGAAAACGCAUUGGUUAAUACCUGAUGUGGAUGACGGUACCGGAAUAAGAAGCACUGGCUAACUACGUG